AACGAAGCGAAAGGAGGUGAUCCGAUGUCGAGUGGUUUUCCUAUGCCGGCCGGGUCCAUGGAUACGACGAUGGUGAAGGGGCAGCCUUCUUCUCGCAUCUGACGAUCUGAUGCGCCCUGCCUCAGGGUCCGCAUCGGACCUGCCGGCGUGGCUUUGAUCACGGAAAGGCCGCUCUCCCCGGAGAGCGGCCUU
This 192-nucleotide unclassified non-coding RNA is filed under the name Aureimonas phyllosphaerae. RNAcentral describes it as "caulobacter sRNA CC2171". Lineage: Bacteria; Pseudomonadati; Pseudomonadota; Alphaproteobacteria; Hyphomicrobiales; Aurantimonadaceae. The record is from RNAcentral.